RNAcentral lists this unclassified non-coding RNA (372 nucleotides) under uncultured Gammaproteobacteria bacterium. RNAcentral describes it as "contains 16S-23S intergenic spacer region". The record is from RNAcentral. Lineage: Bacteria; Pseudomonadati; Pseudomonadota; Gammaproteobacteria.
UCCGGUUUGUCACCGGCAGUAUCCCUAGAGUGCCCUUGCGUAGCAACUAAGGAAAAGGGUUGCGCUCGUUGCGGGACUUAACCCAACAUCUCACGACACGAGCUGACGACAGCCAUGCAGCACCUGUGUCCAGGUUCCCUUUCGGGCACCAAUCCAUCUCUGGAAAGUUCCUGGCAUGUCAAGCGUAGGUAAGGUUUUUCGCGUUGCAUCGAAUUAAUCCACAUCAUCCACCGCUUGUGCGGGUCCCCGUCAAUUCCUUUGAGUUUUAACCUUGCGGCCGUACUCCCCAGGCGGUCAACUUCACGCGUUAGCUGCGUUACCAAGGAAAUGAAUCCCCGACAACUAGUUGACAUCGUUUAGGGCGUGGACUAC